UUUCCCCAUUUCCCCUACCGUGCGGUUCCCUACUUCUCCCUCACCGAUCUCUCUUCCUUCUUCUCGAUCCUUCUCCUGUUCUCUCCCGAUCCAGCCGAGGAUCUCCCUUCCCCUUCCCAUUUUUCCUCCUGAGCCGAUUUCCCUCCUCAUACCUAGCACCGGCCUCUUCAUCUGCUCUUUCCCGAGCCGCAUCUAGGCGCCACCGCUACCUGAGGCGAACGGAGCAGCGCCUAUCCACUGCCGGCGCACCUGUGCCCUAGCACCCACCGUGAUUUCUUCAGCCUGAGCGCCACUAGGGAGUCACCUUCCAGAACAACGCCGGUGUGGCGCUGUCUUCCCCGUGCCCUGUCUUCCCCGUGCCCUAGCACCGGUGUAGAUCCAGCAACUCUUCUUGAGCAUGCCUUAAUGUGGAAUCCUUAACCCUAGUCUCACCUCUCGUGCCCUAGUUCGUCAGUGUCGGAAGCCGAGGACCCUUGCAAGAGCUGAGGCCUCUUUCCGAUCCAAGUCGCCAUCUUUGGUCUGGCGACGAUAGUAGGCCAUGAUUUCUGUCGGCGGUUAGAUCGGAGACAUUGCCAGCAAAGAUUGGCUGCUGAUCCUUAGAGUGGAAGGGACCGUCGGCACAGAAUUUGUUCCGGCGAUCCAGCUUCAGUGGUGAACUCCUUGGGUUGUAUUCCACCAGCUGUAACAAGAUUGUGAUUUGAGCAGCCACCCGUUUUCCGGCAGCCACCUUUUAGCGAUGAAUAGCCCUAUUGGGCAGCAACUCUUUGAUUCCAGCAGCGAGAACGAAUGAGAAUUGAGCCUUUGUAGCUUGGCCAGCAUUGUUCACUGGCGAUCCACAGCACCGGUCAUUCUAUUUUGGGUAGGGAAACUCUUUGACCGUGAGCCAUCGGCGACCAUCCUGGAUUUGGGUAAUUAGCUAAAUCUGGCUAUCAUAUAGUACAGGACUCUGGUUCGAGACGAGCACUUUGACGUGGAGAUUAUUUUCCUCGGUCUACAUUAG
Zingiber officinale is the source of this 1000-nucleotide long non-coding RNA. RefSeq lists it as uncharacterized. The record is from RefSeq and is a predicted model, not a curated record. The transcript has 6 exons. Lineage: Eukaryota; Viridiplantae; Streptophyta; Magnoliopsida; Zingiberales; Zingiberaceae.